This 80-nucleotide transfer RNA is filed under the name Patescibacteria group bacterium. Its description in RNAcentral is "tRNA-OTHER". It matches the Rfam family "tRNA". From Rfam's summary of the family: Transfer RNA (tRNA) molecules are approximately 80 nucleotides in length. Their secondary structure includes four short double-helical elements and three loops (D, anti-codon, and T loops). Further hydrogen bonds mediate the characteristic L-shaped molecular structure. tRNAs have two regions of fundamental functional importance: the anti-codon, which is responsible for specific mRNA codon recognition, and the 3' end, to which the tRNAs corresponding amino acid is attached (by aminoacyl-tRNA synthetases). tRNAs cope with the degeneracy of the genetic code in two manners: having more than one tRNA (with a specific anti-codon) for a particular amino acid; and 'wobble' base-pairing, i.e. permitting non-standard base-pairing at the 3rd anti-codon position. The record is from RNAcentral.
GGCCCUGUAAGGUUUAAUAGAGCAAAACGCACCCCGUCUGGUUCUAGGGGUGGAUGCAGGUUCGAAUCCUGUCGGGGCCG